This is a long non-coding RNA of Sapajus apella (tufted capuchin), 403 nucleotides long. RefSeq lists it as uncharacterized. The transcript is spliced from 3 exons. The record is from RefSeq and is a predicted model, not a curated record. NCBI's taxonomy places the organism in Eukaryota, Metazoa, Chordata, Mammalia, Primates, Cebidae.
GCCCCGGGGUGGAGCUGCUCAUGGGCAGCUUGCCUACUCCCACCCCUCUCUGUCUGUCCCAGCCCUCCUGUAGGUCAUUUUUGAGAGCUGAAGGACACAGCUGCCAAAGAAAUACCAUGGGGCACAGCACUGUGGACCUUGGAGUGGAGGAUGGUGGGGAAGACAGGGGCAGCUUGCUUCAGGGUCUCACAAGAGCAGAGGGCAUGGUGCCUACAGCAAAGCCAGUCCACCAUGGGACUGCUGGCCUGUGCCUGCUGCUCAGUGGGGCAGGCAGGAUAUGCAGAGGGGCUGGCCUGUCCCCAUGGUCCUGAUGACGGGACUAGCUUCAGGAGAAGGUUGAGCUUGUUUGCAUGGCAGAGCUCCUGCUGACUACCUUCAGGGCUUGGCAGGUGGAAUUGCUCAA